AUGUCGUGAUGUGGACACUUUCGUAGCAAAUCGUUCAAACGCUCCCAUGCUUCAUGUAAAGGUUCUCCCUCAUUUUGGGAGAAUUCACGGAUAGAAGCUCUCAUAACAU
Cornus florida is the source of this 109-nucleotide small nucleolar RNA. NCBI's taxonomy places the organism in Eukaryota, Viridiplantae, Streptophyta, Magnoliopsida, Cornales, Cornaceae. The record is from RefSeq and is a predicted model, not a curated record.